RNAcentral lists this ribosomal RNA (203 nucleotides) under uncultured bacterium. Its description in RNAcentral is "partial 16S ribosomal RNA". It matches the Rfam family "Bacterial small subunit ribosomal RNA", at positions 114 to 334 of the family's 1533-position model. The record is from RNAcentral.
CGCGUGGGAACGUGCCCUAAGGUACGGAACAACUCCGGGAAACUGGAGCUAAUACCGUAUGUGACCGAGAGGUGAAAGAUUUAUCGCCUUGGGAUCGGCCCGCGUUAGAUUAGCUAGUUGGUGGGGUAAUGGCCUACCAAGGCGACGAUCUAUAGCUGUUCUGAGAGGAAGAUCAGCCACACUGGGACUGAGACACGGCCCAG